Molecule: ribosomal RNA, 490 nt
Filed under: uncultured bacterium
Lineage: Bacteria
Description: partial 16S ribosomal RNA
Rfam family: Bacterial small subunit ribosomal RNA
Source: RNAcentral
AUUGAACGCUGGCGGCAGGCCUAACACAUGCAAGUCGAACGGUAACAGGAAGCAGCUUGCUGCUUUGCUGACGAGUGGCGGACGGGUGAGUAAUGUCUGGGAAACUGCCCGAUGGAGGGGGAUAACUACUGGAAACGGUAGCUAAUACCGCAUAACGUCGCAAGACCAAAGAGGGGGACCUUAGGGCCUCUUGCCAUCGGAUGUGCCCAGAUGGGAUUAGCUAGUAGGUGGGGUAACGGCUCACCUAGGCGACGAUCCCUAGCUGGUCUGAGAGGAUGACUAGCCACACUGGAACUGAGACACGGUCCAGACUCCUACGGGAGGCAGCAGUGGGGAAUAUUGCACAAUGGGCGCAAGCCUGAUGCAGCCAUGCCGCGUGUAUGAAGAAGGCCUUCGGGUUGUAAAGUACUUUCAGCGGGGAGGAAGGGAGUAAAGUUAAUACCUUUGCUCAUUGACGUUACCCGCAGAAGAAGCACCGGCUAACUCCGUG